AAUUGUUUUACUUAUGUUAUAUAAAUAUUAUAAAAUUUGAAUCUUGUGAGACUCUAACCUCAAUCGCACAACGUACAUCUCGUGCAUUAGGCGCGCUUUCCCCUAGUGGAUGCUAUAAUGACGAAAGAGAGACGUUGUUUUCUUGCAACUUGACUUUAAUCAGGAUUCUGCCAAUUAUUCUUACAUCAUUCGGACAACUGUUCUUCUUAAAAUUUAAAAGAACGUAAAGAAUAACUGAAGUUUAUAAAAGUUGAAGAAAUUUUCACAAGGAUUAGAACAGCCUGCGACCACAUCAUCGGCAGGUUAGUUGAGUGACAUUAGUCUGUAUACUUUGUUGUAAUUGUUUCAGAUCAGAUUUCGCUUUUUAUUUAUUUCAGUAAUCUAAAAAAGAUGGUUGUACGAUACCUUUAAGAGUCACAUAGUUGCAAUACAAUAUUAAAAUAAAAUUAUAACAUUUGUCAUUAUUCUCUUACCUAGCCUGCCAUAAGAUAAUGACAUACUUGAAGAACUAGGAGGUACACCUUUGGAUAAUCCUUUUGAUAUGAAUUGCUCUGCCAAUUCUUUAUAUAAUGGUUCGCUAAGCUUAAACAGAGACAAACUUCGGUGAAUUUUUUAUCAAUAGCAUACACCAGCUUACAAGAAAGAGAAUUUUGGUAAAACUGAACUCAAAUGGAAGCGCUUGCACUCAUGUCACUAUCAUGUCCUGACAAUUUCGGAUUUUAUAAAACUAUAGGAGACGUGAUUGACGUUGAGAUUGUAAUUGACAGCUGGAGCAAAGCUAUAAUUUAGUUCAACAUUACGUGAAGUUUAUUUAAUGUUUUUCUCUUAUUUUCCCUCGUUUUUUAUGUUUUUAAAAAUUAUUUUUAAAAUAUAUUUACUAAUAAUCAUAAAGUAUAAUAUGUAUACAUUUGUUUAGAUAUAAGUUUAUU
Monomorium pharaonis (pharaoh ant) is the source of this 929-nucleotide long non-coding RNA. RefSeq lists it as uncharacterized. The record is from RefSeq and is a predicted model, not a curated record. The transcript has 4 exons. NCBI's taxonomy places the organism in Eukaryota, Metazoa, Arthropoda, Insecta, Hymenoptera, Formicidae.